AUUGAACGCUGGCGGAAUGCUUUACACAUGCAAGUCGAACGAUGAACCUUAGCUUGCUAAGGGGAUUAGUGGCGAACGGGUGAGUAAUAUAUCGGAACGUGCCUUGUAAUGGGGGAUAACUAGUCGAAAGAUUAGCUAAUACCGCAUACGCCCUGAGGGGGAAAGUAGGGGAUCUUCGGACCUUACGUUAUAAGAGCGGCCGAUAUCUGAUUAGCUAGUUGGUGAGGUAAUGGCCUACCAAGGCGACGAUCAGUAGCUGGUCUGAGAGGACGACCAGCCACACUGGAACUGAGACACGGUCCAGACUCCUACGGGAGGCAGCAGUGGGGAAUUUUGGACAAUGGGCGCAAGCCUGAUCCAGCCAUUCCGCGUGAGUGAAGAAGGCCUUCGGGUUGUAAAGCUCUUUCGCAAGGGAAGAAAACUUACCAUCGAAUAAAUGGUGAGGCUGACGGUACCUUGAUAAGAAGCACCGGCUAACUACGUG
Molecule: ribosomal RNA, 484 nt
Filed under: uncultured bacterium
Lineage: Bacteria
Description: partial 16S ribosomal RNA
Rfam family: Bacterial small subunit ribosomal RNA
Source: RNAcentral